Molecule: ribosomal RNA, 247 nt
Filed under: uncultured bacterium
Lineage: Bacteria
Description: partial 16S ribosomal RNA
Rfam family: Bacterial small subunit ribosomal RNA
Source: RNAcentral
ACAGUGAUGUGGAGCAAAACUCAAAAAAAUAAGUCUCAGUUCGGAUUGAAGGCUGAAAUUCGCCUUCAUGAAGCCGGAAUUGCUAGUAAUGGCAGGUCAGCAUACUGCCGUGAAUACGUUCCCGGGCCUUGUGCACACCGCCCGUCACACCAUGAGAGUUGGGAAUACCCGAAGCCUGUGAGCUAACUUUUAGAGGCAGCAGUCGAAGGUAGAAUCAAUGAUUGGGGUGAAGUCGUAACAAGGUACC